GGGGAAUAUUGGACAAUGGACGAAAGUCUGAUCCAGCGACGCCGCGUGGAGGAAGAAGUCCUUCUGGAUGUAAACUCAUGAAGCUAACGAAAAAGACGGAAGGGGAACCUUCCGGGAGAAGGUAAUUAGUGUAGAGCCCCGGCUAACUACUGGCCAGCAGCCGCGGUAAUACGUAGGGGGCGAGCGUUGCCCGGAAUUACUGGGCGUAAAGGGAACGUAGGUGGCUCUUAAAGUCAGGUGUGAAAAUAACGAAGCUUAACAGGUUAAUGCGCUUGUAACUAAAGGGCUUGAGGGCAAUAGAGGGAGAUGGAAUUACCUGUGUAGGGGUGAAAUCCGCAGAUAUAGGUAAGCAGGCCGGUGGGGAAGCCGAACUCCUGGGUUGACCCUGACGCUGAGGUGCGAAAGCGUGGGGAGCAAACA
RNAcentral lists this ribosomal RNA (420 nucleotides) under uncultured bacterium. RNAcentral's name for it is "bacterial SSU rRNA". It matches the Rfam family "Bacterial small subunit ribosomal RNA", at positions 356 to 774 of the family's 1533-position model. The record is from RNAcentral.